Molecule: ribosomal RNA, 207 nt
Filed under: uncultured bacterium
Lineage: Bacteria
Description: partial 16S ribosomal RNA
Rfam family: Bacterial small subunit ribosomal RNA
Source: RNAcentral
CACGUAGGCGGACAUUUAAGUCAGGGGUGAAAUCCCGGGGCUCAACCCCGGAACUGCCUUUGAUACUGGGUGUCUAGAGUAUGGAAGAGGUAAGUGGAAUUCCGAGUGUAGAGGUGAAAUUCGUAGAUAUUCGGAGGAACACCAGUGGCGAAGGCGGCUUACUGGUCCAUUACUGACGCUGAGGUGCGAAAGCGUGGGGAGCAAACA